AUCAUAAUGUGACGUCUAGAUGCUUACGGUUCUCCUCGCCCCGUGAAAUCAACCGUUCGAUCUUCUCGAUGACAACUUGUUCAAAAAUAUCCGCGGCCGUGUUAAGAAUAAUUUCUGUGUCACGUGCCGCUUAUCUUUCAUUUCAUCCUAAAAUAUUUAAGAAAAUUAAUCUUCGAAUUCUUGUACUUUGCUCAAUCUGUUUCAAUCUAUUUAUUUAUCUAUCGAUAAAUAUUUUUUAACGUAUCAUUUCGAUUCUAUUAAUAGAAGUCAUAUUAAUUAUACAUACCCGAAUUCAUCAUAGAUAACACGGCUAUGAGAUAAUAAUUUCAAACAUCUUGAAUUUGACUUGUCCUUAUCAGUUUCAUCAAAUUUACGAACUUUUAUUUAAUAUCACAAUCCAAUUACUUAUAAUCCAAUGAUUAAGUAAACGAGACAAACGAUUAUUAUCAUAAUCGAGUUAAAAAUCUAAAGAUCCAAACGUAAUUAUUCCUCAUUGAGUAAGAAGGGGAAGUGUCAAUCUCCAGCGGCGUAAAAACACAAAUUUUUGAUGUCUCCUGGGACGAGGCGGAAGUCGAGAAGGAAAACGUUUUCGCAUUGACAUCGAUUCUCUUUGUAGAAAGAAGACGAAGAGGCAAGAAGGAUAAAUCGAACGACAAAAGGCUAUGGGUACCGUUUCGAUCGAUCUUCGAUCAGUGGACACAAAUGACAGACGAGUCCAGUUGGGUGGAAGUUCUCCUGCCGCGGGAUCCUCAAACGAGGAUCCAGAACCGGAUGAAUCGACCUCCCUCUACAACGAAGACUGUCUUCGGGGUGCGCUGCAACCGUCCCCGCCCGAAGAUCAAAAGGGAAAUGGUGGAAGAUUUCCGGCGGAGGAUCCUCAAUCUUACGGUCAAAUAUUGAAAUUCUCUUAUCCAAAGGGGAAACGAAAUAAUAAUAAUAAUAAUAACGGGAAGAAGCCUUUCAAACGUAGAGUGACAUUCGCUUUGUGAAAAAUUUACGUUGAAUAUCUUUGUUGAAUAAAAAUGAGAAAAUAAAUUUCAUUUUAAUUCGGA
Molecule: long non-coding RNA, 1052 nt
Organism: Apis cerana (Asiatic honeybee)
Lineage: Eukaryota; Metazoa; Arthropoda; Insecta; Hymenoptera; Apidae
Source: RefSeq, a predicted model, not a curated record